This 24-nucleotide non-coding RNA is filed under the name Arabidopsis thaliana (thale cress). Lineage: Eukaryota; Viridiplantae; Streptophyta; Magnoliopsida; Brassicales; Brassicaceae. The record is from RNAcentral.
CUGUUCAAAGGCCCAACAAGAUGC